This 496-nucleotide ribosomal RNA is filed under the name uncultured bacterium. RNAcentral describes it as "partial 16S ribosomal RNA". It matches the Rfam family "Bacterial small subunit ribosomal RNA", at positions 29 to 507 of the family's 1533-position model. The record is from RNAcentral.
AUGAACGCUGGCGGCGUGCCUAAUACAUGCCAGUCGAGCGAACGGACGAGAAGCUUGCUUCUCUGAUGUUAGCGGCGGACGGGUGAGUAACACGUGGAUAACCUACCUAUAAGACUGGGAUAACUUCGGGAAACCGGAGCUAAUACCGGAUAAUAUUUUGAACCGCAUGGUUCAAAAGUGAAAGACGGUCUUGCUGUCACUUAUAGAUGGAUCCGCGCUGCAUUAGCUAGUUGGUAAGGUAACGGCUUACCAAGGCAACGAUGCAUAGCCGACCUGGGAGGGUGAUCGGCCACACUGGAACUGAGACACGGUCCAGACUCCUACGGGAGGCAGCAGUAGGGAAUCUUCCGCAAUGGGCGAAAGCCUGACGGAGCAACGCCGCGUGAGUGAUGAAGGUCUUCGGAUCGUAAAACUCUGUUAUUAGGGAAGAACAUAUGUGUAAGUAACUGUGCACAUCUUGACGGUACCUAAUCAGAAAGCCACGGCUAACUACGUG